GGCUCCGCCCUCCCGCUCCGCGCGCUCGCCCUCGGCGCCCCCGUGCGGGCGAGCGCGGCGGCGGCGGUUCCCAUGGAGAUGGAAGAUGGCGCCCAGGGGCCGCCAUCGCUCCUCGGCUCCGCUGCAGGUCCUGCUCUUCCUCAACGGCUGGUACUGCGCCACGUAUUUUCUCCUGGAAGCGUUCGUGUUCGUGUACAAAGUGCUGCUCCUGCCCUAUCCCGUCUCCAACUUGGUGCUGGACGUGGUUCUGCUCCUCCUCUACCUCGGCAUUGAGGCCACACGCAUCUUCUUCGGCUCCAAGGGGAACCUGUGCCAGCGGAAGGUGCCGCUGUCCCUCAGCCUGGCACUCACAGUGCCGGCAGCUGUGCUGGCCGUGUACUACUUGCUGCUCCAGACAUAUUCCCUGCGCCUGGAAGCGUUCCUGAGCGCCAUCCUGCUCCUCUUCUACGGCCUGGAGCUGCUCCUGGGCUUCCUGGCGCUGCUCUCCUUCUCCAGCACGGAUCCCUACUGAGGACACGGCCCAGGGACACAGGGAAGCAUCACCCGUGCCAGCUCCACUCCCCAGCCCCGGGAAGGGGGAGGAUCUCACCUUUCCCACUGCCCAUUUCACCUGGUGCCACCUGGACACAUCCCUCCCACUCUGUUGCUUCUAUGUGGACACAUCCCUCCCAUUUUUCCUGCUUCCCACUUCAGCAGGGACCUGCUGCCACACGGAUUCAUCCCUCCCUUUUCCCACUUCACUCACUGCCCCCUGGACAUAUCCCUCCCACCUUUCCCACUCUCCAAUCCACUCGGACUCCUCAGAGCUUGAGCCAGCUCAAGGAAGGCAACAGGAGCGCUGUGUAAAAGACUGACAACGUCAUCUGAGUUUAUUACACAAUUCCAACCUAUCCAAAGACAAAUCUAAUCACUGCGAGCAGGAGGGGCGGCGCCUCGCCGGGGCUUCCAGGGAUUUGCUCUGCAAUUUAUGGGGGAAAUCUUUUUCCCCCUCCACUAUUUGGAAAGAAACUAAAAAUCUGUGGCGGUAAGUAAAAAAAAACCCGGAGCUCUCCUGCCGAGUGCUCCCACCUCGUGGGGCUUGGGAAAAUCAGGGUGAUUUUUCCUGAAUUUGGGUUA
RNA transcript from Passer domesticus (house sparrow), 1116 nucleotides. It is a transcript of the gene named transmembrane protein 216, with no coding region annotated. The record is from RefSeq and is a predicted model, not a curated record. NCBI's taxonomy places the organism in Eukaryota, Metazoa, Chordata, Aves, Passeriformes, Passeridae. The transcript is spliced from 6 exons.